RNAcentral lists this ribosomal RNA (330 nucleotides) under Damon diadema. Its description in RNAcentral is "partial 12S ribosomal RNA". Lineage: Eukaryota; Metazoa; Arthropoda; Arachnida; Amblypygi; Phrynichidae. The record is from RNAcentral.
GGGUAGUAUUAGAUGUUCUAGAAACCUAAAAUUUUUGGCGGUCUUUUAGGCUAGUUAGAGGAACCUGUUCUGUAAUAGAUAUUCCACUUUGGGUUUAACUUUCUUUAUGGUAUAUAUACCGCCGUCGUAAAGUAAUUUUUGUAGAAAUUAUUAUUAAGUUAGAUUAAGGAGAUGACAGGUCAAGGUGUAGCUUAUGAGGGAGGUUGAGAUGGGUUACAAUACUGGAUUGGUAAAAGAUGAAUGUGGGUUGAAGAAAUUUCUCCGUUGAAAGUGGAUUUAAAAGUAAGGUUGAGAUUAAAAUGCGGAUUUGAUUUAGGCUCUGAGGGAUGU